UCGUGGAGCUUCGGCUCCUUCGAGGGAGAACCCUUGCCUUUUCGAGCACCUGUUUGUUUCCUCGGCAGGCCCGCCUGCCAAUGGGGACCCCUUAAACUCUUGCAAUAACCUGUACAAAAUCGUCUGAACAGAAAAAAAUCUAAAUCA
Molecule: unclassified non-coding RNA, 147 nt
Filed under: uncultured Westerdykella
Lineage: Eukaryota; Fungi; Ascomycota; Dothideomycetes; Pleosporales; Sporormiaceae
Description: sequence contains ITS1
Source: RNAcentral